GUCUACGGCCGUACCACCCUGAACAAGCCCGAUCCCGUCUGAUCUCGGAAGCUAAGCAGAGUAGGGCUUGGUUAGUACUUGGAUGGGAGACCACCUAUUUUUCAUGCUGUAGGCA
RNAcentral lists this ribosomal RNA (115 nucleotides) under Pteropus alecto (black flying fox). The record is from RNAcentral. Lineage: Eukaryota; Metazoa; Chordata; Mammalia; Chiroptera; Pteropodidae.